RNAcentral lists this ribosomal RNA (702 nucleotides) under uncultured Bacilli bacterium. RNAcentral's name for it is "bacterial SSU rRNA". It matches the Rfam family "Bacterial small subunit ribosomal RNA", at positions 56 to 730 of the family's 1533-position model. The record is from RNAcentral. Lineage: Bacteria; Bacillati; Bacillota; Bacilli.
UGCAAGUCGAACGCUUUUUCUUUCACCGGAGCUUGCUCCACCGAAAGAAAAGGAGUGGCGAACGGGUGAGUAACACGUGGGUAACCUGCCCAUCAGAAGGGGAUAACACUUGGAAACAGGUGCUAAUACCGUAUAACAAUCGAAACCGCAUGGUUUCGGUUUGAAAGGCGCUUUUGCGUCACUGAUGGAUGGACCCGCGGUGCAUUAGCUAGUUGGUGAGGUAACGGCUCACCAAGGCAACGAUGCAUAGCCGACCUGAGAGGGUGAUCGGCCACAUUGGGACUGAGACACGGCCCAAACUCCUACGGGAGGCAGCAGUAGGGAAUCUUCGGCAAUGGACGCAAGUCUGACCGAGCAACGCCGCGUGAGUGAAGAAGGUUUUCGGAUCGUAAAACUCUGUUGUUAGAGAAGAACAAGGAUGAGAGUAGAAUGUUCAUCCCUUGACGGUAUCUAACCAGAAAGCCACGGCUAACUACGUGCCAGCAGCCGCGGUAAUACGUAGGUGGCAAGCGUUGUCCGGAUUUAUUGGGCGUAAAGCGAGCGCAGGCGGUUUCUUAAGUCUGAUGUGAAAGCCCCCGGCUCAACCGGGGAGGGUCAUUGGAAACUGGGAAACUUGAGUGCAGAAGAGGAGAGUGGAAUUCCAUGUGUAGCGGUGAAAUGCGUAGAUAUAUGGAGGAACACCAGUGGCGAAGGCGGCUCUCU